This 216-nucleotide ribosomal RNA is filed under the name Glomeromycotina sp. RNAcentral's name for it is "partial small subunit ribosomal RNA". The stretch from base 40 to 216 matches the Rfam family "Eukaryotic small subunit ribosomal RNA", at positions 686 to 864 of the family's 1831-position model. The record is from RNAcentral. Lineage: Eukaryota; Fungi; Glomeromycota.
GGGUCAGUAGGUUGGUCGUGCCACCGGUACGUACUGGUCUCACUGAUUCCUCCUUCCUGAAGAACCGUAAUGCCAUUAAUUUGGUGUUGCGGGGAAACAGGACUGUUACUUUGAAAAAAUUAGAGUGUUUAAAGCAAGUUAACGCUUGAAUACAUUAGCAUGGAAUAAUGUAAUAGGACGAUCGAUCCUAUUUUGUUGGUUUCUAGGAUUGACGUA